GGUGAGGAUCCCGUCCGCUGGAUGACCAAGGGUUCCGGGGCCACGUUCGUCGUCCCCGGGUGAGUCGGGUCCUAAGGCGAGGCCGACAGGCGUAGUCGAAUGGAUGAACGGGUGGAUAUUCCCGUACCGACCAUGGACCGGCAAAACCGAGACGGUGAGUACUAACCUCCGCCUCGUGGUGGUUCCUUCCUUCGGGUUGGUUCCGCCGCGUGGUGUUGGGACCGUAGCCGCAGUAGGUCAGCGCAGGGGUGACACGGAAUGGGAGCCGGCCGCGGAGGUGGUUUUCCGUGGUCAAGCACGCAGCCAGUCAUGUAGGCAAAUCCGCAUGGCGCGCAUGGCGAGGUGUGAUGAUGGGAGCCUUUUGGGCUCGAUAUCCGGUUGUCCAGGCCGUCGAGAAAAGCCUCGGCGUGAGGGCCAUGGCCGCCCGUACCCCAAACCGACACUGGUGGUCAGGUAGAGAAUACCAAGGCGAUCGAGCGAAUCCUGGUCAAGGAACUCGGCAAAUCACUCCCGUGCCUUCGGUAUAAGGGAGACCCGCUGGGGUGAACCGGCUAGCCCGGGGAGCUUUGGUGGGUGGCACAGACCAGGGGGUAGCGACUGUUUACCAAAAACACAGGUGCAUGCGAAGGCGAAAGCCGCUGUAUAUGCACUGACGCCUGCCCGGUGCCGGAAGGUUAAGAGGAUCCGUCAGUCCUUCGGGAUGAAGCGGUGAAUUCAAGCCCCGGUAAACGGCGGUGGUAACUAUAACCAUCCUAAGGUAGCGAAAUUCCUUGUCGGGUAAGUUCCGACCUGCACGAAUGGCGUAACGACUUCCCCACUGUCUCGACCAGGAGCUCGGCGAAAUUGCAGUACGAGUAAAGAUGCUCGUUAAGCGCAGAAGGACGAAAAGACCCCGGGACCUUUACUAUACCUUGGUAUUGGCGUUAGGCGCGGAUUGUGUAGCAUAGGCGGGAGGCUUCGAAGCGUGGGCGCCAGCUCAUGUGGAGCCGCAAGGUGAAAUACCGCUCUGUUCUCGUUUGACGUCUAACCUCGACAAGUCAUCCUUGUCAGGGACAGUGCCUGGCGGGUAGUUCAACUGGGGCGGUUGCCUCCCAAAGAGUAACGGAGGCGCUCAAAGGUCCGCUCAGCCCGGUUGGCAAUCGGGUGUCGAGUGUAAUCGCACAAGCGGGCUUGACUGCGAGGACGACGGUCCGAGCAGGGACGAAAGUCGGAGAUAGUGAUCCGGUGCCGGCGCACGGGCGCGGCAUCGCUCAACGGAUAAAAGGUACCCCGGGGAUAACAGGCUGAUCAUUCCCAAGAGUCCAUAUCGACGGGAUGGUUUGGCACCUCGAUGUCGGCUCGUCGCAUCCUGGGGCUGGAGCAGGUCCCAAGGGUUCGGCUGUUCGCCGAUUAAAGCGGCACGCGAGCUGGGUUCAGAACGUCGUGAGACAGUUUGGUCUCUAUCCUCUGCGCUCGUUGGAAUCCUGAGGAGGCCUGCCCAUAGUACGAGAGGACCUGGGUGGACGAACCUCUGGUAUGCCGGUUGUCGCGCCAGCGGCACGGCCGGUUGGCUACGUUCGGGAGGGAUAACCGCUGAAAGCAUCUAAGCGGGAAGCCUGCUCCAAGAUUAGGAUUCCAUGGAUCUUCGAGAUCCUGUAGCCCGCAUGUUGAACACGUGUUUGAUAGGCCGGAGGUGGAAGCCCCGUGAGGGGUGGAGCCGACCGGUACUAACGGGCGACGGCGACACAAC
RNAcentral lists this ribosomal RNA (1729 nucleotides) under human gut metagenome. RNAcentral's name for it is "bacterial LSU rRNA". It matches the Rfam family "Bacterial large subunit ribosomal RNA", at positions 1320 to 2925 of the family's 2925-position model. The record is from RNAcentral.